Long non-coding RNA from Esox lucius (northern pike), 360 nucleotides. Lineage: Eukaryota; Metazoa; Chordata; Actinopteri; Esociformes; Esocidae. The record is from Ensembl.
CAAUCACACACCUGUUCCCGCUUGACUCAUCACCGGCUGUAUAUCUGAGGAGCCCUGACGAACCGUCCCUGCCGGAUCGUUGAUCCACAUCCGAAUCUCCUGACAACCUUUACCAGCCCAUGUAUCGACCUCCUGCCUGUCCAAGACUACUCUGCCUACUCCCUGUCACGCAGUCAGAAAGCUAACAGCACCAUCAUUAAAGCUAAGAUCUCACAGCUCCAAUCAGUCAAACCAUCUGGAUGUCUCAACAUUUUGUCCAAGAAGGAUUUUCUUUGGAUAACUAGACCAGGGAGACGUCAUCAAGAAUUCUCCAAGGAACAGCUGGGAGUUUCUACAGAAUGGAAGAGGGCACGCUGCUUA